This 301-nucleotide ribosomal RNA is filed under the name uncultured bacterium. Its description in RNAcentral is "partial 16S ribosomal RNA". It matches the Rfam family "Bacterial small subunit ribosomal RNA", at positions 509 to 809 of the family's 1533-position model. The record is from RNAcentral.
CAGUAGCCGCGGUAAUACGUAGGGUGCAAGCGUUAAUCGGAAUUACUGGGCGUAAAGCGUGCGCAGGCGGUUUGUUAAGACAGAUGUGAAAUCCCCGGGCUCAACCUGAGAACUGCAUUUGUGACUGGCAAGCUAGAGUCUGGCAGAGGGGGGUGGAAUUCCGCGUGUAGCAGUGAAAUGCGUAGAUAUGCGGAGGAACACCGAUGGCGAAGGCAGCCCCCUGGGCCAACACUGACGCUCAUGCACGAAAGCGUGGGGAGCAAACAGGAUUAGAUACCCGAGUAGUCCCUGUCUCUUAUAA